Molecule: ribosomal RNA, 74 nt
Filed under: Bacillus licheniformis
Lineage: Bacteria; Bacillati; Bacillota; Bacilli; Caryophanales; Bacillaceae
Description: partial 23S ribosomal RNA
Source: RNAcentral
CGGUUAAGUUAGAAAGGGCGCACGGUGGAUGCCUUGGCACUAGGAGCCGAUGAAGGACGGGACGAACACCGAUA